CAUAUCUGAGGGCAUCACACCAACCUUUUUGACGGGACUUGUUGCUGUCUUUGCGAUCUAAUAUAUAUUCAACCUGCAGUAUCAGGAAGAGGCAGCCUGUACUCUGGAAUUCAUUCAGAGGCGCUUCAUUGGUAUCAACCCAGAGAGAGGAACAAAGGCCGUCCGGGGCAAGGUUGUCUCCAAGAAGAUGGCUGUGAUCGUCCAGAAGAAGUCUGCCACAGUCAACACACACGUCUCCACACCACUGAAGAACCUCCUUGACUUUGAAUGGGACUUCAUAUAGUGGCAACACUGGUAAGGAGAGGAACAAGGACCAGCAAGGUGUUGGUCAUCCCUAUCUGAAACAGAAGAUUCCUCUUUGUAUCAGAACUGUCCACACCCACCCAGAAUCUUCUUGAAGUUAAGCAUACACCUAUCUCA
Long non-coding RNA from Gymnodraco acuticeps, 420 nucleotides. RefSeq lists it as uncharacterized. NCBI's taxonomy places the organism in Eukaryota, Metazoa, Chordata, Actinopteri, Perciformes, Bathydraconidae. The transcript is spliced from 3 exons. The record is from RefSeq and is a predicted model, not a curated record.